GUCGAGUGCGCGCCUGUAGCAAUACAGGUGGCGCACGGCGCACGGGUGCGUAACACGUGGGUAAUCUGCCCUUCGAAGGGGAAUAACUCGCCGAAAGGCGAGCUAAUUCCGCAUAACAUUCCAAGAACUUUGGUUUUUGGACUCAAAGGCGUAAGUCGUCGGAGGAGGAGCCCGCGCACGAUUAGCUAGUUGGUAGGGUAACGGCCUACCAAGGCUAUGAUCGUUAGCUGGUCUGAGAGGAUGGCCAGCCACACUGGAACUGAGACACGGUCCAGACUCCUACGGGAGGCAGCAGUGGGGAAUCUUGCACAAUGGGCGAAAGCCUGAUGCAGCGACGCCGCGUGGGGGAUGAAGCUUCUCGGAGUGUAAACCCCUUUCGACCCGGACGAAUGCCCCGCAAGGGGACUGACGGUACGGGUAUAAGAAGCCCCGGCUAACUACGUGCCAGCAGCCGCGGUAAGACGUAGGGGGCCAGCGUUGCUCGGAAUUACUGGGUGUAAAGGGUUCGUAGGCGGUGUGGCAAGUCGGGAGUGAAAUCUCUGGGCUCAACCCAGAGUCUGCUUCCGAAACUGCUGUGCUUGAGUGUGGGAGAGGCGCGUGGAAUUGCAGGUGUAGCGGUGAAAUGCGUAGAUAUCUGCAGGAACACCCGUGGCGAAAGCGGCGCGCUGGACCACUACUGACGCUGAGGAACGAAAGCUAGGGGAGCAAACAGGAUUAGAUACCCUGGUAGUCCUAG
RNAcentral lists this ribosomal RNA (736 nucleotides) under uncultured Acidobacteriota bacterium. Its description in RNAcentral is "bacterial SSU rRNA". It matches the Rfam family "Bacterial small subunit ribosomal RNA", at positions 61 to 799 of the family's 1533-position model. Lineage: Bacteria; Pseudomonadati; Acidobacteriota. The record is from RNAcentral.